RNAcentral lists this ribosomal RNA (254 nucleotides) under uncultured bacterium. RNAcentral describes it as "partial 16S ribosomal RNA". It matches the Rfam family "Bacterial small subunit ribosomal RNA", at positions 524 to 776 of the family's 1533-position model. The record is from RNAcentral.
UACGUAGGGGGUAAGCGUUGUCCGGAUUUAUUGGGCGUAAAGAGCGUGUAGGCGGCCAUUCAGGUCAGCUGUGAAAACUCGAGGCUCAACCUCGAGACGUCGGUUGAAACCGUUUGGCUAGAGUCCAGAAGAGGAGAGUGGAAUUCCCGGUGUAGCGGUGAAAUGCGCAGAUAUCGGGAAGAACACCCGUGGCGAAGGCGGCUCUCUGGGACGGUACUGGACGCUGAGACGCGAAAGCGUGGGGAGCGAACAGG